CCUACGGGAGGCAGCAGUGGGGAAUAUUGCACAAUGGGGGAAACCCUGAUGCAGCGACGCCGCGUGAGUGAAGAAGUAUUUCGGUAUGUAAAGCUCUAUCAGCAGGGAAGAAAAUGACGGUACCUGAUUACGAAGCCCCGGCUAACUACGUGCCAGCAGCCGCGGUCAUACGUAGGGGCAAGUGUUACCCGGAUUUACGGGGUGAAAAGGGUGCGUGGACGGCAGCAAAGGUCAGGGGUAACAUGCCGGGGCUAAACCCCGAAACGGUUUUGAAAACGGUGCAGCUAGAGGGCAGGGGGGGUAGGGGAAAUCCCGGGGGUGGCGGUGAAAUGGG
RNAcentral lists this ribosomal RNA (334 nucleotides) under uncultured bacterium. RNAcentral's name for it is "partial 16S ribosomal RNA". It matches the Rfam family "Bacterial small subunit ribosomal RNA", at positions 338 to 690 of the family's 1533-position model. The record is from RNAcentral.